Pecten maximus is the source of this 1579-nucleotide long non-coding RNA. RefSeq lists it as uncharacterized. NCBI's taxonomy places the organism in Eukaryota, Metazoa, Mollusca, Bivalvia, Pectinida, Pectinidae. The transcript has 2 exons. The record is from RefSeq and is a predicted model, not a curated record.
CAUGUGUCGAACUGAUGUUGUCACUCGGACGCUUCCUUGUAAAACGUAUAUUGAAGUUAAGCGCUGUGAUGAUCUCGACCUCGACAUGAGUUUACUAACAACAGACGAUAUUCCCGUACUUUAAUCUGAAUUAUUUGAAAUCGUGAACAUAAAAAGAAAACGUGCAUUGGUCGGUUCCUCGUCUGAAAAUACAUCCAUAUUAAACAAUAGGCGUAUGACAGACGAGGCCAAAACCUCUGGUCAGAUUACAUGUUUAUCGUUCGGUUCACCUAUGACCUCGUUUGUUUACCUUGCUCCCGAGAUGUGACGAGAGUGCUCCUCGAGCUCGUGCGAUCUAAAUGUGCACGAUGCAAGUAUUAAAUACUGUAAUAUUUAUCUUAAAAGUAUGACACAAUAGAAGUUUAUGAUUUAGAAUAAAAAACACGCACAAGUAAAAAUGAAUCGUGUUAAUCUCUGGCAGUAAAAUAUUUAUCCCAUGAUGCAACACACACGAGUUUAGCGGGAAGUCUGAUAGCCAUGUUUGAAUUCACCGGAUGUUUAUUUCCAGAAGAAAAGUAUAAACAAACACGACGAUAGCCUAAAAACGAAGUUUGUUUCCCGUCUUACUGAAGAAGAUCGACUUACUUCAAGUUACCGACGAAUGAAUAUCAGCUUUCUCGUUGUUUUUGACGACCGAUGCAUAUUUUUACCGACAAACAUCGUUACGAGACAGGGUAAGUUUUAAUUAUAUAAUCUUCUUCACGUUCUGACAUCGUUUCACAUUAUACGACGAUGAAUUUGAUAUGGAUCUAUUCAUAUCAAUAAUACCUAAUUAUUUAUUUUUCAGGAUUUUGAUGAUUAAUUUAUCACAGAUUACACGGCCGAAGGAAACGCAGUACCGAUCCAUGUGUUACAAUCAGACUGAGUCUGCAUGCAGUACAUUCUGGAAUGAGGAACAUCGCAUGCAUUGUGGUCCAAAUUGAUGGCAUUGACUUAACACAAAGCAGAAAGGAAUGAAGAGAAAUUAAGAAGUUUAUGUUUCACAUUAAUUAAGAUUAUUCGAGAUAUGUUAUCUGUCGAGGUAUACAACAUUUCCUUUCAUAAUAAAAGUGUAAACAUUAAUAUAUAUACAAAAAAAAAUCAUGUAUAUAAUCUAAAAAUCCUUGUUAGUUAUUUGUUGUACUAGCAAAAAAUAUAAUAGUCGUCUCAAGCUUGGUUGUAUUGAAAUCCUCGGGGACAGUGACAGAGAUAUAUCACUACAGUACGUGCUACAUCAAACAACACACCAUUGUUCAAAUUGUCAAUCAACAUUUCAUUUAGUCAGUAUUUAGAAUUGAUUCCAACAUUAUGAUAAUCUUUUCACAGUUUAUUAGAAAUAAUGUUAAAUUCGAUAGAAGAAGUCUUCGACUGUUGCUUGUUUUUGUUUAUUUUAAGUUCACAGACACACAUGAAAACAGUUUCCAGUACAUCUGGGCUACUUCGAGGAAACUACGUAUACUGUCUGAAAUCAGUCUUGUGCGUCGACGACAAAAUGUAUACAUAUCCUACUUUAACUCUGCUGGAAAAUAUUAUUUUGUACUAUUUUCCUACUAUUUUAGAA